ACGCACGCUGGCGGCGUGCCUAAUCCAUGCAAGUAGCACGCUGAAGGAGGAGCUUGCUUCUCUGGAUGAGUUGCGAACGGGUGAGUAACGCGUAGGUAACCUGCCUGGUAGCGGGGGAUAACUAUUGGAAACGAUAGCUAAUACCGCAUAAGAGUAGAUGUUGCAUGACAUUUGCUUAAAAGGUGCAAUUGCAUCACUACCAGAUGGACCUGCGUUGUAUUAGCUAGUUGGUGAGGUAACGGCUCACCAAGGCAACGAUACAUAGCCGACCUGAGAGGGUGAUCGGCCACACUGGGACUGAGACACGGCCCAGACUCCUACGGGAGGCAGCAGUAGGGAAUCUUCGGCAAUGGACGGAAGUCUGACCGAGCAACGCCGCGUGAGUGAAGAAGGUUUUCGGAUCGUAAAGCUCUGUUGUAAGAGAAGAACGAGUGUGAGAGUGGAAAGUUCACACUGUGACGGUAUCUUACCAGAAAGGGACGGCUAACUACGUG
RNAcentral lists this ribosomal RNA (494 nucleotides) under uncultured bacterium. RNAcentral's name for it is "partial 16S ribosomal RNA". It matches the Rfam family "Bacterial small subunit ribosomal RNA", at positions 29 to 507 of the family's 1533-position model. The record is from RNAcentral.